ACGAGAAUUUUUUAUUCCUAUUCUUGGUACUUACUAAAUUGAAUACUUUGUAUACAUCCGAAGUAUUCUGUGUUUACAUAAUGACUACUUUAAUGUUUCAGGCGUAAGCGUCUGCGUAGCCCUCGUGUUACACCCGCUCAAAUUGAUGCACUACUAUCAAUAUUAGAAGCGCGUCCAUAUUUGCACACGCGGAAAUUUACCGGCUUGCAGGGCCGGGAAAAUUUCGAAACGGGCUGGAGGGAGGUUGCCGAGGAGCUCAAUAAUCUCCCUAACGGGUCUAGAAAGACACCAGAGCAGUGGAUGACGGUUUGGAGAGACUUAAAAAGCCGCGCUUGCAGUAAGGCGGCAAAAUUAAAAAAAGAA
Molecule: long non-coding RNA, 363 nt
Organism: Helicoverpa zea (corn earworm)
Lineage: Eukaryota; Metazoa; Arthropoda; Insecta; Lepidoptera; Noctuidae
Exons: 2
Source: RefSeq, a predicted model, not a curated record